GAUGCAUAGUUUAACAUCAAAUACCCUAUUGAGUGUUAAUCACAUUAAAGGAAUGGGCAUUCAUGGAGGAGGAGAAAGGUGAACCCAUACUAAAGUGCUGCUCCUGGACAACAAAUAGAUCACUGGAACACUGAACAAUAAAGACCAAUUACUUCGUUAUAGGAGCAGUUUGUCUGAAAACCAGAUCCCUUUGCAAAUCCUCCUCUCCCCGCCUUCCAGAGAAAACCACACACCCCUGACAGAAGCCACCCGAAACAUGAAAGUCCAUGUGAGAGAUAUUUAGAUAGACUGCAUUCACUGUGUAUCUUAAAGCUUUACAUCUAGAGAAGCAAGUUUUAGCCUAAAGCACGUCUGUCUGUUUACGAACACCUUCAGGUGACUAUGAAGAUAAUGGAAUUGCUGAUACACUGCUCAUAGCUGCUUGGGUAACCAUUCUUUUAUUAUCAGGAAGGCAAAUGCAAUUUUUAAGAUCAAAGUGGACAUCUCUUGGAAGCUCCAUUUAUUACAAAAGGCUAAAGUGUCCACAUUCCUAGGAAUCAAAGGGACUGAAAAGCCAGAACAGCAGUAGUAUUCAAGAGGCAAAUGCAAUUUUUGACAGAGAGCAACCACCGAAGUCGGUGACAGGAA
This is a long non-coding RNA of Callorhinus ursinus (northern fur seal), 627 nucleotides long. RefSeq lists it as uncharacterized. The record is from RefSeq and is a predicted model, not a curated record. Lineage: Eukaryota; Metazoa; Chordata; Mammalia; Carnivora; Otariidae.